GUACACUCCUACGGGAGGCAGCAGUGGGGAAUUUUGGACAAUGGGCGAAAGCCUGAUCCAGCAAUGCCGCGUGCAGGAUGAAGGCCUUCGGGUUGUAAACUGCUUUUGUACGGAACGAAAAAGCUCCUUCUAAUACAGGGGGCCCAUGACGGUACCGUAAGAAUAAGCACCGGCUAACUACGUGCCAGCAGCCGCGGUAAUACGUAGGGUGCGAGCGUUAAUCGGAAUUACUGGGCGUAAAGCGUGCGCAGGCGGUUAUGUAAGACAGAUGUGAAAUCCCCGGGCUCAACCUGGGAACUGCAUUUGUGACUGCAUGGCUAGAGUACGGUAGAGGGGGAUGGAAUUCCGCGUGUAGCAGUGAAAUGCGUAGAUAUGCGGAGGAACACCGAUGGCGAAGGCAAUCCCCUGGACCUGUACUGACGCUCAUGCACGAAAGCGUGGGGAGCAAACAGGAUUAGAAACCCUGGUAGUCCC
Molecule: ribosomal RNA, 474 nt
Filed under: uncultured organism
Description: partial 16S ribosomal RNA
Rfam family: Bacterial small subunit ribosomal RNA
Source: RNAcentral